CCGCCUUCGCCCGCGAUUGGCUGCACUGUGCAGACCCCGCCUUCCAGGUCCGCCUCCGGCUCUGUCGACCGCGCCUCGCGAUUGGCUUUUCCCCAGCCGUCUUCUGCGAUUGGCCCCAGGGCGCUGCCGUUCAUAAUCACUGACGCCCCGGCCGGAAGCAACCGCCACGCGCGGAGCCACUUCCUGUUUACUCGACGGGAAAGGUGCAGGUAGAUGGGGAGGUUCCUGGCUGAGGAUGGAGGAAAGGGAAGCCACUGAGUCGCACGAAAGGCGGGGCUCGCGCGAGGGGCGUCGCUCCUACAAUGUGUCCGCGCAUUGGCUCUAUGCCUUUCACCUUCUCCAAGGUUACGUUACGCUUCGAAGUGUGGCGCUCUGCAGAGGUGUACGGCGCGCUGAGGAGGUAUUUCUGCCUUGAGUUCCUACCCCGACCUUCUUCAGUGAUGGAGUGUGACCUGAGAGUUUUCUCAGUGAUGCGGAGACAGACCGAGUCCACAGCUCAUGGAGCCAGGCUGCUUCAUCAACUGUGUUCUGACUGUCACUCCAGCCCAUCAUUUGAAACAAUUAUGUCCUACAAGCUGUCACUUCAUGAAAAAGCAACAAGGUAGCUAAUUUUUGGAGAAUAUUUGUUAUGUUUAAUUUAGUAGCUGUAAAAAGAAUUUGUUUGUUGUGAGUUAUAAAAGUGUAUGAAACAUGUGCCAUCUGAUUUCUAGUUUUGUGGGGUUUUUGAUGGUUUUUUGUUUGUUUGUUUGUUUUGAGAUAAGGUCACAUGUUGCCCAGGAUGGCAUCAAACUUGCUACGUAGCUAAGGAUGACCUUGAACUUCUGCUCUCCCCGCCUCUACCU
Non-coding RNA from Peromyscus maniculatus bairdii (prairie deer mouse), 842 nucleotides. The record is from RefSeq and is a predicted model, not a curated record. NCBI's taxonomy places the organism in Eukaryota, Metazoa, Chordata, Mammalia, Rodentia, Cricetidae.